Molecule: long non-coding RNA, 518 nt
Organism: Zophobas morio
Lineage: Eukaryota; Metazoa; Arthropoda; Insecta; Coleoptera; Tenebrionidae
Exons: 5
Source: RefSeq, a predicted model, not a curated record
CUGAUGGGCCGUUUGGAGACUCAAGUUGAGUAUAAGGCUUACUCAGCGGCGGUGUAUAAAUGUAUUAAAUCCAGCGAAAUAUCCAGGGAAUGGGCUGACCUAAUUUCUUUUCUUCAAAAUUUAAAUAAGGUUAUUAGUUGUGCUCGUCCGUUUUCGGAUCUUCCGCACAAACGCUUGGUUGCUAAGAAGCUUGCUCAGUGUUUAAGCCCCUCGCUUCCCAGCGGAGUCCACCUAAAAGCUCUUGAGGUUUACGACCUGAUUUUUUAAACGUCUUGGGAUAGUGCAGCUCAAAAAUGAUAUUCACCUCUACACAGUUGGACUACUGCCUUUGUUUAGCGAGGCACCUAUUAGCGUUAAACCUUCUUUGCUUGCUAUAUACGAAAAUCACUUUUUGCCGCUCGGCCCAUCCUUAUCCCCCUGCUUUCUUCCAUCCUUAUGUCGAUACUUCCUGGUCUAGAGGAUGGUGGAGAAUUUUUUAACAGGACUCUGGAUUUACUCGACAGAGUGUGUAAGCAGGU